AUGAAUGAGACGCGUAUUAACAUGGGAAAAAAACCGUUGAGAGUCGCACAAGAAAAGUGUCGCCCGGCUCCUUGGCCCUCCUCCUCCGGCGGUGCUGCCGUCGUGAGCGAGCAUGGGGAAGGUAGCCAGGUCUCUCCUCCGUCAAGUAGGUGUAAGAUUAGGUUUAGGACUGAGUCUAGGUUUGCCUCUAUGGCGUUUGACGUGAUGUCGAGUUGGAGCUUCGUCCAGGCGUCCUCGAGCAGUGCUUGGAGGCUGGUUCUCUCCCGAGGUGAGCUUCCAUGGUGGAAGUCGACAGCGGGUGGUAGAUCUGGUGAUAGCUCCCCUAAUAAGCUCGAAUCUUUCCCUGAUCUGGAGGUUCUCCGUCGCCUUGUUCCAUUUGUCCGUCGCUGUCGUGGAGAUGGGGACAGAAAGUGGAAGAGGUGGAGCGCAAGUUUGUUUCGAUUGGGUUUGUGCAUAUUCUCAUCGGUGCUUGGAGUGGAGCUACGGCGCCCACUGGAGCUGCCGGUCUCCGACGCCUCCCCGGUGACCUUUCUGGCCGAAGGGCGGCCUGGUGAAGCCAUGCUGACUUUGUUUCUUCCUCCUGGCUUGAUGCCAUUUGAGAGGCAGCUGUUCAACUUCAACAUGGAGUCCUCUUCUUCCAUCUUUGUCCGGAGAUGGAGUAGCGGCGGUCCGGUGAUCCCAAGUGGCCACGUCCUCGGUGAUGGCCGGACUGGAUCUACGCUGGAGUUGAGUAUUGGACCCGAUUGUAAUCUUAAUCAUCAGGAUGGGGUCCUCCUUGUUAGUUUCAGGGACUAUGAUGUAAUUUCCUUUUCUUUUGAGUCCUGGUAUGAGCUCUGUACUGCAGCCGCUGAUAGUUAA
RNAcentral lists this ribosomal RNA (858 nucleotides) under Triticum aestivum (bread wheat). Its description in RNAcentral is "partial small subunit ribosomal RNA". The record is from RNAcentral. Lineage: Eukaryota; Viridiplantae; Streptophyta; Magnoliopsida; Poales; Poaceae.